This 66-nucleotide microRNA precursor is filed under the name Gyrodactylus salaris (gyrodactylosis fluke). RNAcentral's name for it is "microRNA gsa-mir-2b precursor". Its record names the gene gsa-mir-2b. The record is from miRBase by way of RNAcentral. Lineage: Eukaryota; Metazoa; Platyhelminthes; Monogenea; Gyrodactylidea; Gyrodactylidae.
AGUUGCAAGCGGUUGUUAUAUAAUUUCAUUUUUAAUUCAAUAUAUCACAGCCCUGCUUGGAACGCA